AUUGAACGCUGGCGGCAUGCUUUACACAUGCAAGUCGAACGGUAACAGGCCUUCGGGUGCUGACGAGUGGCGAACGGGUGAGUAAUGCAUCGGAACGUGCCCAGAGGGGGGGGAUAACGCAGCGAAAGCUGUGCUAAUACCGCAUGUGAUCUGAGGAUGAAAGCGGGGGACCAAGCAGCAAUGUUUGGCCUCGCGCCUCUGGAGCGGCCGAUGUCAGAUUAGGUAGUUGGUGGGGUAAAGGCCUACCAAGCCGACGAUCUGUAGCUGGUCUGAGAGGACGACCAGCCACACUGGGACUGAGACACGGCCCAGACUCCUACGGGAGGCAGCAGUGGGGAAUUUUGGACAAUGGGCGCAAGCCUGAUCCAGCAAUGCCGCGUGCGGGAAGAAGGCCUUCGGGUUGUAAACCGCUUUUGUACGGAACGAAAAGGCUCUGGCUAAUACCUGGGGCUGAUGACGGUACCGGAAGAAUAAGCACCGGCUAACUACGUG
RNAcentral lists this ribosomal RNA (492 nucleotides) under uncultured bacterium. RNAcentral's name for it is "partial 16S ribosomal RNA". It matches the Rfam family "Bacterial small subunit ribosomal RNA", at positions 29 to 507 of the family's 1533-position model. The record is from RNAcentral.